RNAcentral lists this ribosomal RNA (232 nucleotides) under uncultured bacterium. Its description in RNAcentral is "partial 16S ribosomal RNA". It matches the Rfam family "Bacterial small subunit ribosomal RNA", at positions 100 to 334 of the family's 1533-position model. The record is from RNAcentral.
CGGGACGGGUGAGUAAUGUCUGGGAAACGGCCCGAUGGAGGGGGAUGACUACUGGAAACGGUAGCUAAUACCGCAUAACGUCGCAAGACCAAAGAGGGGACCUUAGGGCCUCUUGCCAUCGGAUGUGCCCAGAUGGGAUUAGCUAGUAGGUGGGGUAACGGCUCACCUAGGCGACGAUCCCUAGCUGGUCUGAGAGGAUGACCAGCCACACUGGAACUGAGACACGGUCCAG